Molecule: ribosomal RNA, 1202 nt
Filed under: metagenome
Description: bacterial SSU rRNA
Rfam family: Bacterial small subunit ribosomal RNA
Source: RNAcentral
AGAGUUUGAUCCUGGCUCAGAGUGAACGCUGGCGGCGUGCCUAAUACAUGCAAGUCGAACGCGAAAGUCCUUCGGGAUGAGUAAAGUGGCGCACGGGUGAGUAAUACAUAAGAACAUGCCCUUAGAUGGGGAAUAACGUUUGGAAACGAACGCUAAUACCGCAUAGUCUCGCAAGAGUAAAGGUGGCGCCGUAAGGGCUACCGUCUAAGGAUUGGCUUAUGUCCCAUUAGCUAGUUGGCGGGGUAAUGGCCCACCAAGGCAACGAUGGGUAUGUGGUCUGAGAGGAUGAUCACACACACUGGAACUGAGACACGGUCCAGACUCCUACGGGAGGCAGCAGUAGGGAAUAUUGCACAAUGGAGGAAACUCUGAUGCAGCAACGCCGCGUGAGUGAAGAAGGCCCUUGGGUCGUAAAGCUCUUUAGCGAGGGAAGAAGCUGUGUACGGUGAAUAAUCGUGCAUGGUGACGGUACCUCGAGAAUAAGCACCGGCUAAUUUCGUGCCAGCAGCCGCGGUAAUACGAAAGGUGCAAGCGUUACUCGGAAUCACUGGGCGUAAAGCGCGCGUAGGCGGACUCGUAGGUCAAUUGUGAAAUACCUGGGCUCAACCCAGGAACUGCAGUUGAAACCGCUUGUCUUGAAUACUUGAGAGGGUGGGGGAAUACCUGGUGGAGAAGUGAAAUUCGUAGAGAUCAGGUGGAACACCGGAGGCGAAGGCGCCUGCCUGGCAAUGUAUUGACGCUGAGGCGCGAAAGUGCGGGGAGCAAACAGGAUUAGAUACCCUGGUAGUCCGCACCGUAAACGAUGGAUACUAGGCGUUCGGAGAGUUAACCCUCUGAGUGCCAAAGUUUACACAUUAAGUAUCCCGCCUGGGAAGUACGGUCGCAAGACUAAAACUCAAAGGAAUUGACGGGGGCCCGCACAAGCGGUGGAGUAUGUGGUUUAAUUCGAAGCGACGCGCAGAACCUUACCUGGCCUUGACAUCGCGAGACAUCCGCAGAGAUGCGGCUUUCCCUUCGGGGACUCGUAGACAGGUGCUGCAUGGCUGUCGUCAGCUCGUGUUGUGAAAUGUUCGGUUAAGUCCGGCAACGAGCGCAACCCCUGUCCUUAGUUACCACCAUUAAGUUGGGGACUCUAGGGAGACCGCCGGUGUUAAACCGGAGGAAGGCGGGGAUGACGUCAAGUCCUCAUGGCCCUUACGGCC